This 253-nucleotide ribosomal RNA is filed under the name uncultured bacterium. RNAcentral's name for it is "partial 16S ribosomal RNA". It matches the Rfam family "Bacterial small subunit ribosomal RNA", at positions 524 to 776 of the family's 1533-position model. The record is from RNAcentral.
UACGUAGGGUGCAAGCGUUAAUCGGAAUUACUGGGCGUAAAGCGUGCGCAGGCGGUUUUGUAAGCCAGAUGUGAAAGCCCCGGGCUUAACCUGGGAAUGGCAUUUGGGACUGCAAGGCCUGAGUGCGGCAGAGGAGACUGGAAUUCCUGGUGUAGCAGUGAAAUGCGUAGAUAUCAGGAGGAAUACCGAUGGCGAAGGCAGGUCUCUGGGCUGACACUGACGCUCAUGCACGAAAGCGUGGGGAGCAAACAGG